AAGAAUAAUUAAUUACAAUAGAAAAGUAUAAUUUGAUUUAAACUCACAUGUUGAAAAAAGUAGAAUACCAAUGAGUAUCAAAACUGUUUU
Molecule: small nucleolar RNA, 90 nt
Organism: Raphanus sativus (radish)
Lineage: Eukaryota; Viridiplantae; Streptophyta; Magnoliopsida; Brassicales; Brassicaceae
Product: small nucleolar RNA R20
Exons: 1
Source: RefSeq, a predicted model, not a curated record